UACGAAGGGGGCGAGCGUUGUUCGGAAUUACUGGGCGUAAAGGGCGCGUAGGCGGCUUAUCAAGUCAGGCGUGAAAUUCCCGGGCUCAACCUGGGGGCUGCGCUUGAUACUGAUGAGCUUGAAUGCGGGAGAGGAUAGUGGAAUCCCCAGUGUAGAGGUGAAAUUCGUAGAUAUUAGGAAGAACACCAGUGGCGAAGGCGGCUCACUGGUCCGGUACUGACGCUGAGGUGCGAAAGCGUGGGGAGCAAACAGG
Molecule: ribosomal RNA, 253 nt
Filed under: uncultured prokaryote
Description: partial 16S ribosomal RNA
Rfam family: Bacterial small subunit ribosomal RNA
Source: RNAcentral